This 881-nucleotide ribosomal RNA is filed under the name Parastagonospora minima. RNAcentral describes it as "eukaryotic LSU rRNA". It matches the Rfam family "Eukaryotic large subunit ribosomal RNA", at positions 34 to 936 of the family's 3401-position model. The record is from RNAcentral. Lineage: Eukaryota; Fungi; Ascomycota; Dothideomycetes; Pleosporales; Phaeosphaeriaceae.
UUAAGCAUAUCAAUAAGCGGAGGAAAAGAAACCAACAGGGAUUGCCCUAGUAACGGCGAGUGAAGCGGCAACAGCUCAAAUUUGAAAUCUGGCUCUUUCAGGGUCCGAGUUGUAAUUUGCAGAGGGCGCUUUGGCGUUGGGAGCGGUCCAAGUUCUUUGGAACAGGACGUCACAGAGGGUGAGAAUCCCGUACGUGGUCGCUAUCCUUCGCCGUGUAAAGCCCCUUCGACGAGUCGAGUUGUUUGGGAAUGCAGCUCUAAAUGGGAGGUAAAUUUCUUCUAAAGCUAAAUACUGGCCAGAGACCGAUAGCGCACAAGUAGAGUGAUCGAAAGAUGAAAAGCACUUUGGAAAGAGAGUCAAAUAGCACGUGAAAUUGUUGAAAGGGAAGCGCUUGCAGCCAGACUUGCCUGUAGUUGCUUAUCUGGACUUUUGUCCAGUGCACUCUUCUGCGGGCAGGCCAGCAUCAGUUUGGGCGGUUGGAUAAAGGUCUCUAUCACGUACCUCCUUUCGGGGAGGCCUUAUAGGGGAGACGACAUGCAACCAGCCUGGACUGAGGUCCGCGCAUCUGCUAGGAUGCUGGCGUAAUGGCUGUAAGCGGCCCGUCUUGAAACACGGACCAAGGAGUCUAACAUCUAUGCGAGUGUUUGGGUGUCAAGCCCAGACGCGUAAUGAAAGUGAACGGAGGUGGGAACCUUUUAGGUGCACCAUCGACCGAUCCUGAUGUCUUCGGAAGGAUUUGAGUAAGAGCAUAGCUGUUGGGACCCGAAAGAUGKUGAACUAUGCUUGAAUAGGGUGAAGCCAGAGGAAACUCYGGUGGAGACACACAGCGGUUCUGACGUGCAAAUCGAUCGUCAAAUUUGGCAUAGGGCGAAAGACUAAUC